Molecule: ribosomal RNA, 253 nt
Filed under: uncultured bacterium
Lineage: Bacteria
Description: partial 16S ribosomal RNA
Rfam family: Bacterial small subunit ribosomal RNA
Source: RNAcentral
UACGUAGGGUGCAAGCGUUGUCCGGAAUUAUUGGGCGUAAAGAGCUCGUAGGCGGUUUGUCGCGUCGAAUGUGAAAACCCGGGGCUCAACUCCGGGCCUGCAUUCGAUACGGGCAGACUAGAGUUCGGUAGGGGAGACUGGAAUUCCUGGUGUAGCGGUGAAAUGCGCAGAUAUCAGGAGGAACACCGGUGGCGAAGGCGGAUCUCUGGGCCGUAACUGACGCUGAGGAGCGAAAGCAUGGGGAGCGAACAGG